GUGACGUCAAGCUUCCAAGAAAAGCCCUAUACCCGUUAAGGCAUCAUGGCCUGUACCCGAAACCGACACAGGUGGGGUGGUAGAGAAUACCGAGGGGCGCGAGGUAACUCUCUCUAAGGAACUCGGCAAAAUGGCCCCGUAACUUCGGGAGAAGGGGUGCCACCGCAAGGUGGUCGCAGUGAAGAGGCCCAGGCGACUGUUUACCAAAAACACAGGUCUCCGCUAAGUCGCAAGACGAUGUAUGGGGGCUGACGCCUGCCCAGUGCCGGAAGGUUAAGGAAGCUGGUCAGCGCAAGCGAAGCUGGCGACUGAAGCCCCGGUGAACGGCGGCCGUAACAAUAACGGUCCUAAGGUAGCGAAAUUCCUUGUCGGGUAAGUUCCGACCCGCACGAAAGGCGUAACGAUCUGGGCGCUGUCUCGGAGAGAGGCUCGGCGAAAUAGAAUUGUCUGUGAAGAUGCGGACUACGUGCACCCGGACAGAAAGACCCUAUGAAGCUUUACUGUAGCUUGGUAUUGUGCCCGGGCUCUGAAUGCGCAGGAUAGGUGGGAGGCUUUGAUCAUCGGCUUGCGGGUCGAUGUGAGCCGACGGUGAGAUACCACUCUUUCAGAGCUAGGGUUCUAACAGUCACCCGUUAUCCGGGGACUGGACAGUAUCAGGUGGGCAGUUUGACUGGGGCGGUCGCCUCCUAAAAGGUAACGGAGGCGCGCAAAGGUCUGCUCAGGCUGGUUGGAAAUCAGCCGACGAGUGUAAAAGCAGAAGCAGGCUUGACUGUGAGACCUACAAGUCGAACAGGGAGGAAACUCGGCUUCAGUGAUCCGACGGUUCUGCGUGGAAGGGCCGUCGCUCAACGGAUAAAAGUUACUCUAAGGAUAACAGGCUGAUCUCCCCCAAGAGUUCACAUCGACGGGGAGGUUUGGCACCUCGAUGUCGGCUCAUCGCAACCUGGGGCUGAAGUCGGUCCCAAGGGUUGGGCUGUUCGCCCAUUAAAGCGGUACGCGAGCUGGGUUCAGAACGUCGUGAGACAGUUCGGUCCAUAUCCGGUGCAUGCACAGGAAUAUUGAGAGGAGUUCUCCCUAGUACGAGAGGACCGGGAGGAACGCACCUCUGGUGUACCAGUUAUCGUGCCAACGGUAAACGCUGGGUAGCCAUGUGCGGAGAGGAUAACCGCUGAAAGCAUCUAAGUGGGAAGCCCACCUCAAGAUGAGUAUUCCCAUGGCGUUAGCCAGUAAGGUCACGGGAAGAACACCCGUUGAUAGGCUCUAUGUGGAAGCGCAGUAAUGCGUGAAGCAGAGGAGUACUAAUAGACCGAGGGCUUGACC
RNAcentral lists this ribosomal RNA (1320 nucleotides) under metagenome. RNAcentral's name for it is "bacterial LSU rRNA". It matches the Rfam family "Bacterial large subunit ribosomal RNA", at positions 1594 to 2925 of the family's 2925-position model. The record is from RNAcentral.